Molecule: transfer RNA, 71 nt
Filed under: Danionella mirifica
Lineage: Eukaryota; Metazoa; Chordata; Actinopteri; Cypriniformes; Danionidae
Description: tRNA-Tyr
Rfam family: tRNA
About the family: Transfer RNA (tRNA) molecules are approximately 80 nucleotides in length. Their secondary structure includes four short double-helical elements and three loops (D, anti-codon, and T loops).
Source: RNAcentral
AAUAAGAUGGCUGAGUGUUUAGGCGGCGGAUUGUAAAUCCGAAAACAUAGGUUAAAUUCCUUUUCUUAUUA